Molecule: ribosomal RNA, 446 nt
Filed under: uncultured Marmoricola sp.
Lineage: Bacteria; Bacillati; Actinomycetota; Actinomycetes; Propionibacteriales; Nocardioidaceae
Description: bacterial SSU rRNA
Rfam family: Bacterial small subunit ribosomal RNA
Source: RNAcentral
ACUCCUACGGGAGGCAGCAGUGGGGAAUAUUGGACAAUGGGCGAAAGCCUGAUCCAGCAACGCCGCGUGAGGGAUGACGGCCUUCGGGUUGUAAACCUCUUUCAGCAGGGACGAAGCGCAAGUGACGGUACCUGCAGAAGAAGCACCGGCCAACUACGUGCCAGCAGCCGCGGUAAUACGUAGGGUGCGAGCGUUGUCCGGAAUUAUUGGGCGUAAAGGGCUCGUAGGCGGUCUGUCGCGUCAGGAGUGAAAACUCGGGGCUUAACCCCGAGCCUGCUUCUGAUACGGGCAGACUAGAGGUAUGCAGGGGAGAACGGAAUUCCUGGUGUAGCGGUGAAAUGCGCAGAUAUCAGGAGGAACACCGGUGGCGAAGGCGGUUCUCUGGGCAUUACCUGACGCUGAGGAGCGAAAGUGUGGGGAGCGAACAGGAUUAGAUACCCUGGUAG